CAGCCGCCGCGGUAAUACGAGGGGGGCAAGCGUUGUUCGGAAUUAUUGGGCGUAAAGGGCGCGUAGGCGGUUUGGCAAGUUUGGUGUGAAAUCUUCGGGCUCAACUCGAAGUCUGCAUCGAAAACUGCCGGGCUUGAGUAUGGGAGAGGUGAGUGGAAUUUCCGGUGUAGCGGUGAAAUGCGUAGAUAUCGGAAGGAACACCUGUGGCGAAAGCGGCUCACUGGACCAUGACUGACGCUGAGGCGCGAAAGCUAGGGGAGCAAACAGGAUUAGAUACCCCAGUAGUCCCUGUCUCUUAUAC
Molecule: ribosomal RNA, 301 nt
Filed under: uncultured bacterium
Lineage: Bacteria
Description: partial 16S ribosomal RNA
Rfam family: Bacterial small subunit ribosomal RNA
Source: RNAcentral